GGAAAGACCUGAAAACCAGUCUCUUCUGCUUCCCUUGGACACCCCAGUGUUCAGCCCUUGGUUGCUGAUGGGGUCAGUGCCAGAGGCCUCCAGAUGGUCAGCCUCCCACUACCCAGGCUGCUGCCGUGAUGGCAAAGGAGUUCCUGGUGUCCUGGUGGCCAGAUCUUCUAGUGCCUUCUUGGCAUAGCCAUGAGCCUCCACAUUGAUGGAUAGACAUGGAGUGCAUGGUAUCAACUGUUCUGACACCUCUGGGAGAGGAAACUUGAAGAAGAAUCCCUCCCUUGUGCUCACUCCUCUCUGAGAAAAGGCAGGUGUCCUACAGGCUAGUGGCUCUAUUUUAAAUCUGCA
Molecule: long non-coding RNA, 348 nt
Filed under: Aotus nancymaae (Ma's night monkey)
Lineage: Eukaryota; Metazoa; Chordata; Mammalia; Primates; Aotidae
Description: lncRNA (ENSANAG00000038650.1)
Source: RNAcentral